This 245-nucleotide non-coding RNA is filed under the name Burkholderiales bacterium 8X. The record is from RNAcentral. Lineage: Bacteria; Pseudomonadati; Pseudomonadota; Betaproteobacteria; Burkholderiales.
CCUACAAUCCCGGCCGUUGGUGCUCGCGUCGUGGUUCACACGCCGCAGUUCAACGGGAAGCAGGACCAGCGAGCCCUCUCGGGCAAAGCUUCAACCUGCGCUGCCCCCGCAACGGUCAAGCAGUCGGCAUCGACCUCGAUGCCGCCUUCGUCAAUCAGCCACUGGGCGCCCUGAAACAGGCGCCUGGGAAGGCGACGAAGGUCGAGCUGCCAGCCCGGAUACCGGCCAACGAGGCGGCCGCCGCA